This 191-nucleotide small nuclear RNA is filed under the name Zalophus californianus (California sea lion). Its description in RNAcentral is "U2 spliceosomal RNA (ENSZCAG00015009997.1)". It matches the Rfam family "U2 spliceosomal RNA". From Rfam's summary of the family: U2 is a small nuclear RNA (snRNA) component of the spliceosome (involved in pre-mRNA splicing). Lineage: Eukaryota; Metazoa; Chordata; Mammalia; Carnivora; Otariidae. The record is from RNAcentral. RNAcentral also lists the same sequence under 1 other name.
UCAGGGGUCUCGGCCUUUUGGCUAAGAUCAGGUGUAGUAUCUGUCCUUAUCAGUUUAAUAUCUGAUACGUCCUCUAUCCGAGGACAAUAUAUUAAAUGGGUUUUUGGAGCCAAGAGAUGGAAUAGGAGCUUGCUCCGUCCACUCUGCGCAUCGACCUGGUAUUGCCAGUACUUUAACAGAAUGUCUUAAAA